RNAcentral lists this long non-coding RNA (1060 nucleotides) under Homo sapiens (human). RNAcentral describes it as "HSALNT0375202". The record is from RNAcentral. Lineage: Eukaryota; Metazoa; Chordata; Mammalia; Primates; Hominidae.
GUUCUUUGGCUCUUGUGUGAGUGGAUGGUGACACCAGGCCAGCUGGGGAUUCUUCCCAGGCUGGGCUCACAGGCUGGGGCUGGGCACACGGAGCAGCUGCGGGAAAAGGAUCUGGACACCAGCCCCCCAGCGUGUCACCGGCAGGAAGGUGAGGUGGGAACAGAGUGACGUCCAUGCAUGUUCAGAGACAAGGUUUCCCUACGUUGCCCAGACUGGUCUUGAACUCCUAGCCUCAAGCAGUCCUUCUGCCUCAGCCUCCCAAUGUGCUGGGAUUACAGGCAUGAGCCACUGCACUUGACCAAGGGACUAAGCCAGUGGAUCACAAACAUCCUGGAGAGCAGUGACUCUGUGAUUCCAUCACAAGAAUAUGAAGGACUGAGAAGAUCUCCAGCUCUGCCCAUUGCACCUUCCCAUUGAGAAGCAGCAUGGCACCCUGGUGGCAGGGGCUGAUACUCAGCCGGGCCAGGGUGCUCUCCUGUUAACCAUAACCAAGCUCACAGGACAUGGGAUGAGCCCACUGUGUGACACAGGGAGCGGGACACAGUCUGUUAAGUCUUGCACAGCCAUGCUCUGCCACGCAGGCAGGCCUUUCCUUGGCCUCCCUCUCCCUGUUCGUGCUCAUGUGAACAUCCACCUACGUGGAUAGACUGGGCUUUGGUUCAUUAUUGCUCUGUGAAUUCCUCGAACUUCCGCAUCUGCCCAACCUCCCCCACCCCAUUGUUUUCAUUGUGUUUCACCAAAUGGAAAUUCUAGAGUAAGCAUGUGAGUCCUCUCCCAAACUUGUUCACUGUUGAGAGUGCUAAAAUGCUAACCCCAGAUGCUAACUGAGGGGUAGGGUUACCUUAUCUUUAGAGCACUGCGAAUUGUAUGUUAAGUGGAACUUAAUGAAAAAAUAGUUAAUUGACCAACAUGAAUAUCCCCUGAACAGAAUCUCCCCUGAACAGAAUCCUACAAUGAAACUAAGGGAGAUAAAUAAAGCUGUUUACCUGAAAGCUCUCUCUAAUCAAGAUCCUUUGAAAUUUAUAAAACAUGGUCAAUAUUUGCACUGGACUUUGUAAAA